Molecule: RNA transcript, 1902 nt
Organism: Trifolium pratense (red clover)
Lineage: Eukaryota; Viridiplantae; Streptophyta; Magnoliopsida; Fabales; Fabaceae
Gene name: APO protein 4, mitochondrial-like
Exons: 4
Source: RefSeq, a predicted model, not a curated record
AAGGAAAAAAAAACCUAGGAAACAAUAGCAACAGAUCGUGUUCAUCUCUCUUGUCAACAAAAAUACAAAAGAUUGUUCAUCUCUUCACUCCUUCAAUUCAAUCUCCUUCUCUGCACCACUCCUCCUCAACAUAUUCUGCCACUGGGUUAUUCAAUGGCUUUGAGAAAGGUGUUUUGGAAUGAUCUUCUUCUAUAUGAAAAAUUGGGUGGGUAUUGUCUUAGGAACUUUGGAAGAUUCUAUGCUACUAAAGUGGAUUUGAGGAAACUACGACCCAUGAUUGUUAAGAGAAUUGAGAGACGUUCUCAAUUUUACCCUGUUCGUGAUAUGAUUCCUGUUGCAAAUGAAGUCUUACUUGCUAGGAAUGUUCUCAUUCAUGGUGUUUCUACUCUCCUCAAUUCGUUUCCUCUCAUGGCUUGCAAAUUUUGUCCAGAGAUAUAUAUUGGUGAGCAGGGACAUUUAAUAGCAACUUGCCGGGGUUACAAGCAUCGUGCCAAGAACCGGGUUCACGAAUGGGUCAAAGGCGGUUUGAAUGAUAUACUUUUUCCUGUUGAGACAUUUCAUCUUAAUAACAUGUUCCAAAGUGUUAUUAGGCAUGACCAAAGGUUUGACUUUGAUCGGAUCCCUGCUGUUGUUGAGCUAUGCUGGCAAGCAGGGGCUGAUCCCCACGAUGAAAAUCUUAACUCAAGUAGUGGGAACUUGGAGGCUAGUAAUGGCAAUGUCGAUGGUACCGAGUCUUUGUCACCAAAUGAUCUUGCCGUAAUUGCAAAGAAAACUUUAGAAGCUUGGGAGACUCUCAGGUCUGGGGUGGAGAGGUUGAUGUUUGUAUAUCCGGUAAAAGUUUGUAAAUAUUGUUCAGAGGUUCAUGUUGGGCCAUCUGGCCAUAAAGCUAGGCUCUGUGGAGUGUUCAAGUAUGAGAGUUGGAAAGGAGCUCAUUUUUGGACGAAAGCUAAUGUGGAUAAUUUAGUGCCGCCAAAGAUCGUGUGGAGACGAAGGCCUCAUGAUCCUCCUGUACUUGUGAAUGAAGGGAGAGACUUCUAUGGGCGUGUUCCAGCUGUACUGGAUUUGUGCACAAAAGCCGGUGUCAUUGUUCCUGCAAAGUAUAAUAUUUUGAUGAAAGUGCAAGGUCUGUCUGGUCCAGUCAAUUAUAAAAUUUGACAGGGGCAUUAGAGGAUCAAACAACAAAUUGAAUCGUAAUCGCUAAUCGGACACACAAUUGUUUGGGGAAGAAAUCUGAGAUGACAUUACUUUCAUCUGCAAUUUCCUGCAUAAUUUGAGGUUGUCUGGGAUAUCUGAAUAUGGAUCUCUGUGACUGUUCUUCUGUUGGUUAAAGAAAUAUACUUUGUUCCAGACCAUAUCUCCUAAAAUAUUUCUGCAGAGCUUAUUAGAAUCUCUACAUUUAUGCAUGGCUGGACUUAAUGGACCCGCUCCAGAUUUGAUGAAGAAAACCUUCCGCCUUGAUUUGCUACUUAUCUAGGGGAGACUAGAGGCAAUAGCAAAUGAUUUAUAGGAUAGGGAUGAGAUUCUUAAACAGCUUGCAGCAGUGGAUCCAAAAACAAACAAGUCAUUCUGCGAACUAAAAUAGGAGAGAUGUGUCUAGUAGAGGUCACACCAUUAUUCUAUACCUUAACAAAGGUUCUCAAGUUCACUCAAUUUUCCACGUUUCUCUGGAUGCAAUGGAAAUCCGUCCAACCACCUACGUUGUUAUAGAUAUAGGCAUGUAGAACAGUUAUUGGUAGGGUUUGGGGGGCUUUUAAUUCAUUGAUUGAAGGAGCAAACUUGAGGAAAUGCUGAAAGGUUGCAUGUAUUUUGAUUAUGAAGAAGAUAUAGUUGCACUGAGAAGUUCUGUUCUAUAUUUGCUGAAUCACUUGCAUUAGCACAAAUAUCCUUUAACACAUUAUUUUU